This is a long non-coding RNA of Haliotis rubra (blacklip abalone), 100 nucleotides long. RefSeq lists it as uncharacterized. NCBI's taxonomy places the organism in Eukaryota, Metazoa, Mollusca, Gastropoda, Lepetellida, Haliotidae. The record is from RefSeq and is a predicted model, not a curated record. The transcript is spliced from 4 exons.
UACAAUUGUCUGAGUUUGUUUAAUCAUAGCUUGUCCAGUUGCCUACUACAGGUCGGAGUAAAUCCUGAAGAAAAAAUGGUGUUGUUCUAUUUAGUAGGAA